Molecule: unclassified non-coding RNA, 345 nt
Filed under: Hevea brasiliensis (rubber tree)
Lineage: Eukaryota; Viridiplantae; Streptophyta; Magnoliopsida; Malpighiales; Euphorbiaceae
Source: RNAcentral
GCUCAUCAAGAUGGUGGGUGAAAAACCGGCAGUAACACCUAUAGUUAUUCUUUAGGGUGCAAAAUUCGCUCCUAGGAUGUGGAUUCUAUUUUUGAAGCUUUAGGAAUAACAUCCUUACAAAGAAAUUCUGCCCAUAAUUGAUAAUUGGCUGAACAUUCCCAUGUUUUUGUAAAUAAUGCAACAGUUAUAAAUGUGUCAAAUCAAUGAUUCUUAUGAUUCAUCUUCAUGUGACAUUUAACUUGUUCUACCAUGGUAUGUCUUUUAUGAUUUAGCAGUGAGCAGAAAAGCUUCUUUUUUACUUGGUUUGAGGUUUAAAAAGUAUUCCUUUCUAGUCUUAACAAUAAA